Salvia splendens (bonfire salvia) is the source of this 509-nucleotide long non-coding RNA. RefSeq lists it as uncharacterized. The transcript is spliced from 2 exons. The record is from RefSeq and is a predicted model, not a curated record. Lineage: Eukaryota; Viridiplantae; Streptophyta; Magnoliopsida; Lamiales; Lamiaceae.
AACGCUCCCACUACGACAUGGUUCUCACAAUCUUAGGUACUAAGUUGAUUUUAUUAGUGCAACUUCACCAACUUCAUACCGUUCUCUCAUCGUUGUGCCGAGGUAAACCACCAGAUUAUUUCCGCCUCAUCACACUCAAAUCUUUGUAAUCUUUUCUGAUGGCGGAAUACUUAGGGUGAUCGGACAGGUAUAACACCAAGGCCAUUUCCAUCAUUUCACCAAAUUGUUACCCAAAUACAAAGGUUGAGCGGCGACGAGCUUGGGUGGUGUUGAGUCGAACCUUAAUUUUUGUUGGAUUUAUUUUGAACUCCGAGGGGCGUCGUGUCUUCAUUCAUGGUGUCACUCUUACUCUUGAAUGCUUCCGAUGAAUUAUGACUAUUUUUCACCAUUAUGUUUUUUUGAACUCCUUUUUGCUCUUGGAUUAUAAAUUAUGAUAAUUGUUGACUUUGGAUUUAAAACCUAAGCUUUUACUCUGAUUUUCCCUCGUCAUUUGAAUAUUAAUUAUCUUU